RNAcentral lists this long non-coding RNA (205 nucleotides) under Nicotiana benthamiana. RNAcentral describes it as "long non-coding RNA (NBEN_LNC009279)". Lineage: Eukaryota; Viridiplantae; Streptophyta; Magnoliopsida; Solanales; Solanaceae. The record is from RNAcentral.
AGCUACUGACUUGAAACUUGAACUGAUUCUGAAAUGAACUUUGAAAUGUCUUCCCUCGUCUUCCAGGUGGGUGCCUACAAUCAAAAACAAAACAAACAAAAUUUUCUGCCCCAGUUUGCACUAGGAAGAUUGGUGAGUUUUUAUCAAAACUGUAAACAUACUUAUGCAACCGAUGUAAUAAUGAGAGUAAAACUAAAGACUUGAC